AACGCUAGCUACAGGCUUAACACAUGCAAGUCGAGGGGCAGCAUGGUCUUAGCUUGCUAAGGCCGAUGGCGACCGGCGCACGGGUGAGUAACGCGUAUCCAACCUGCCUUACACUCUUGGACAGCCUUCUGAAAGGGAGAUUAAUACAAGGUGUUAUCAUGAGUAAGCAUUUUCGCAUGAUUAAAGGUUUACCGGUGUAAGAUGGGGAUGCGUUCCAUUAGAUAGUAGGCGGGGUAACGGCCCACCUAGUCUUCGAUGGAUAGGGGUUCUGAGAGGAAGGUCCCCCACAUUGGAACUGAGACACGGUCCAAACUCCUACGGGAGGCAGCAGUGAGGAAUAUUGGUCAAUGGACGAGAGACUGAACCAGCCAAGUAGCGUGAAGGAUGAAGGUUCUAUGGAUUGUAAACUUCUUUUAUACGGGAAUAAACGAAUCCACGCGUGGAUUUUUGCAUGUACCGUAUGAAUAAGGAUCGGCUAACUCCGUGCCAGCAGCCGCGGUAAUACGGAGGAUCCGAGCGUUAUCCGGAUUUAUUGGGUUUAAAGGGAGCGUAGAUGGGUUGUUAAGUCAGUUGUGAAAGUUUGCGGCUCAACCGUAAAAUUGCAAUUGAUACUGGCAGUCUUGAGUACAGUUGAGGUAGGCGGAAUUCGUGGUGUAGCGGUGAAAUGCUUAGAUAUCACGAAGAACUCCGAUUG
Molecule: ribosomal RNA, 694 nt
Filed under: uncultured bacterium
Lineage: Bacteria
Description: bacterial SSU rRNA
Rfam family: Bacterial small subunit ribosomal RNA
Source: RNAcentral